CAAUAGCGUAUAUUAAAGUUGUUGCAGUUAAAAAGCUCGUAGUUGGAUUUCAAGUUACGGACAGCCGAUCUGCCACAAUUGUGGUGUGAUUAAGGUAUUGAUCCGGACUUUCCUUUCGGGAGUCAUUUCGUGCUAUUGAGUUAGUGGCUAUGAAUUCCGAAUCGUUUACUUUGAAGAAAUUAGAGUGUUUAAAGCAGGCUGUUAUGCUGUGAAUACGUUAGCAUGGAAUAAUGAAAUAGGGCUUUGGUGCUAUUUUGUUUGGUUAUUAGAACCAAAGUAAUGAUUAAUAGGGAUAGUUGGGGGCAUUUAUAUUUAAUUGUCAGAGGUGAAAUUCACGGAUUUAUGAAAGAUAAACUUCUGCGAAAGCAUUUGCCAAGGAUGUUUUCAUUAA
Molecule: ribosomal RNA, 391 nt
Filed under: uncultured eukaryote
Lineage: Eukaryota
Description: partial 18S ribosomal RNA
Rfam family: Eukaryotic small subunit ribosomal RNA
Source: RNAcentral